AUGACUAAAAAGGUGGCAGUAGUAGGUGUGUAUAUGCUCCUAUUAGCGGUCCUCUUCUUUUAUGGUACUGAAGCUAAGUGUAGUCAACACUACUACACACUACCUGGUCCUUGUGAUGGUAUAACAUGUAUGAACUUUUGCAUACCACUGAAGUAUCAAAAUGGGACAUGCGGUUUUACUGGAAUACGUCCUGGUGAUGUAGUUUGCUAUUGCUAUAAUUGUGGGGAAGAGACUUCUGUUGAUCAACUAGCGUUACCGCUAUUAGGGGACCCAAGUAGAGCAUACACAUGCAAAAAAAAAAAUCAUUUUUGA
RNAcentral lists this ribosomal RNA (312 nucleotides) under Triticum aestivum (bread wheat). RNAcentral describes it as "partial small subunit ribosomal RNA". Lineage: Eukaryota; Viridiplantae; Streptophyta; Magnoliopsida; Poales; Poaceae. The record is from RNAcentral.